Long non-coding RNA from Silurus meridionalis, 1227 nucleotides. RefSeq lists it as uncharacterized. The record is from RefSeq and is a predicted model, not a curated record. The transcript has 3 exons. Lineage: Eukaryota; Metazoa; Chordata; Actinopteri; Siluriformes; Siluridae.
CGCUGUGCAGUAAGCAAUAAAACGAGCCGCACAGCACGGGGAUAUCAAGGCUACCCUAAAUCACACAUUUCUUCAUAAAUGGCUUGAGAUGCAGAUACAGUGUGUGUUGGCUGAGGUUGUGUACAAGGACUAAUGCAGGCCAUGAGUGCAAGGUUUUUACUGGGCUCAAUCUGUACUGCUCAUUAAAGGGAAAAAAGAAUUCCUCAGUGCUGAGACCCGAGACAGACGGGGUCGACAUGAUAAUGAGCGGAAAGCUUAAGAAUGUGAUUACGAUCCAUGUACGUUGUGUUCGUUGUGUUCAUUUUAUAUGCAAUUGAAGAACAAAAUGUGAAUUACGAUGCCUUCGUUCCUUUUUUUAUUUCAUAUUGAAAGCUGAAAAAGGAGAAAAAUUACUUUCGGUGCACCUUCUAAAAGAAAAAAACGACUAUUCAUUUUCUGUAUUUGUUUAAUCCAAAUCUUACAACAUCAAAUAUGAUCAAUACAUGAAAGUCAAUGAUAUUUCCAAUCUAAAAAAGUACAUUUCAUUGGUGCACUUUGGAAGAAAUUUCCACUCUGUAGACAUCUGGAUGAAUAACUUUGAACAUUUUAGAAUACUUUAUUGACCCGACAGGGCUCUUCACAUAGCCUGGGGAUGUAGGAAGCUGGGGUCAAAGUGCAGGGUUGGCCAUGUUACAGUGUCCUUGGAUCACAGAGGGCAUUGCUCAAGAGCCCCAAGUGUAGCAGCUUGGCGAUACCAGGGUUUAAACUCUCAACCUUCCGAUCAGUAACCCGGUAUAAUAACAACUGAGCUAUAGACCAUAGAUCAUGUUCAGUAUAGACCCCUUAAAAAACAUGGCAAAAGCUUUUAUUGGUCUUAAUGACAAAUCAUUAGUCAGGAAAUGAGCAAUGAAUGAAGUAAAACAAAGGGUGUUGAUAAAUGUUCUGAAUCUGACUCUGGUUACAUGCUGACUCUGAUUUAAUUUGCAUGUUUAUAUGUUUAUUAGCUUUAUGAAAUUGCUAAUUAUUUCUAACUCCAAGAAUAUUCAAAAGUCAGAUUUUCGGAAAUGUAAACUCACUUUUAUUUUGAUAUACACUGGCCCUGACUCUGAUUCUCUUAUUUUCAAAUAUGUGCCUUAUAAUGUGCACACCUGGAUUUUGUUUUCCUUUAUUACUCAAAUAUCAUAGAGGUUCAGAGACAUGAUUCAUUAGAAAGUGUCUGUAUUUAAUUUCUCUCAGUUUUGAGUAUUA